GUCCCUGUAGUACAUUGGAUAGCACGUUGGACCUCUAAUCCAAAGGUCGUGGAUUCGAAUCCCGCCUGGGAUG
This 73-nucleotide transfer RNA is filed under the name Trichonephila inaurata madagascariensis. It matches the Rfam family "tRNA". Rfam says of the family: Transfer RNA (tRNA) molecules are approximately 80 nucleotides in length. Their secondary structure includes four short double-helical elements and three loops (D, anti-codon, and T loops). Further hydrogen bonds mediate the characteristic L-shaped molecular structure. tRNAs have two regions of fundamental functional importance: the anti-codon, which is responsible for specific mRNA codon recognition, and the 3' end, to which the tRNAs corresponding amino acid is attached (by aminoacyl-tRNA synthetases). tRNAs cope with the degeneracy of the genetic code in two manners: having more than one tRNA (with a specific anti-codon) for a particular amino acid; and 'wobble' base-pairing, i.e. permitting non-standard base-pairing at the 3rd anti-codon position. The record is from Rfam by way of RNAcentral. Lineage: Eukaryota; Metazoa; Arthropoda; Arachnida; Araneae; Nephilidae.